Molecule: ribosomal RNA, 387 nt
Filed under: uncultured euryarchaeote
Lineage: Archaea; Methanobacteriati; Methanobacteriota
Description: bacterial SSU rRNA
Rfam family: Archaeal small subunit ribosomal RNA
Source: RNAcentral
UCGGGAAAAUUCUGCAAUGUACGAAAGUGUGACAGAGCAAGCCAAAGUGAUUUUCUUUUAGAAAAUCUUUUGUGAAAUGCAAAAAGUUUCACGAAUAAGGACCGGGAGAGACUGGUGCCAGCCGCCGCGGUAAUCCCAGCGGUCCAAGUCGCAGCCACAUUUGUUGGGUCUAAAACAUUCGUAGCUUGCCUUGCAAGUCUUUUGUGAAAUCGGAACUCUUAAGGUUCCGUCGGGCAAAAGAUACUGCUUGGCUAGAGACCGGGAGAUGUAACGAGUACAGAUCGGGUAGUGGUUAAAUACGUUGAUCCUUUCUGGACUAACGAUAGCGAAGGCACGUUACAAGCACGGAUCUGACAGUGAGGAAUGAAGGCUAGGGGCGCAAAGUGG